CCUUGUUCUGCCUCCUGGGCUGUGCCCCUCCCCACAGGGGCCUCGCCAGGGCCAUGCCCGGCAUGGUGGGGAGGGGGCUAGCACCUCACAUCAGGGCAGGGCCAGUGUCCAUUGUGAGGUAAGGCGAUGAAGAUGAUGAUGCCCUCAGAAGUUGGCAAAGAGGCUGACACAGGCCAAAAGGGGUGCCAGGGGUGCAGGACGGGAGGUGGGUGUGAGGCACAGGUAACCUUGACCUUGAGGAAGGGGCAGUGGUGGCCGUGAACCUGCGAAUCCACGGAGAAGAAUCAGGACCUCCCUCUGCCAUGGGCAGGGGUACUGAUUGGCUUCAAAAACUCCUGGACAGCAGAUCGUGAGCGAUGGUUUUGGGUGCAGUCCCUCCCUCAGAACACCCUCCUCGACCCUGACAGGCCCGGCUUCCUCUGGGCACUGAGGAAACACCCGAUGGACUGAGUGUGGUGGGCUUGGCAGAAAUACCAUGACGUGGAAAGUCUUCUGAUCAUUCUCAUUUUCCAGAAGAGGAAACUGAGGCACAGAGAGAGUGCAAGGGACACGUUGGUAAGGGACACAGCUGGGACCUGGGCCCAGGCAGGAUGGGUGUGGGGCUGCCUCUGUACCAGCGGAGCAUGCAAGGUCUGAGUUUGAGUUAAUGCUCACUAUUUAGUAAUCGUUACUUCAGACGAUAAUACAGUGAUGUUCUAUGUUACAUAAUAAAAGUAAGAGCUUACACUGUGGA
RNAcentral lists this long non-coding RNA (733 nucleotides) under Homo sapiens (human). RNAcentral's name for it is "HSALNT0338955". Lineage: Eukaryota; Metazoa; Chordata; Mammalia; Primates; Hominidae. The record is from RNAcentral.